AUAAUGAAGAAAAAAGAGCUACUGAUUUUGAACUCCUUAAAUAAUGGAAUUAUUUUUCUAAUUCUUUAUAUCAGAUUAGUAUAAUGAAGAGCUACUGAUUUUGAAUGCCUUUAAUUGAUGGAAAUAGAAGCAACUAUAAAUAUGAUUACAAUAAAGAGCUAUUGAUUUUGAACUCCUUAAAUAAUGAAAUAUUUUUCUAAUUCUUUAUAUCAGAUUAGUAUAAUGAAGAAAGAAGAGCUACUGAUUUAGAACUCCUUAAAUAAUGGAAAUAGAAGCAACUGAUAAAUAUGAUUAAAAUUUAUUAUUUAUUAGAUAAUGAAGAAAGAAG
Long non-coding RNA from Gordionus sp. m RMFG-2023, 328 nucleotides. RefSeq lists it as uncharacterized. Lineage: Eukaryota; Metazoa; Nematomorpha; Gordioida; Chordodea; Parachordodidae. The transcript is spliced from 4 exons. The record is from RefSeq and is a predicted model, not a curated record.